Molecule: ribosomal RNA, 253 nt
Filed under: uncultured bacterium
Lineage: Bacteria
Description: partial 16S ribosomal RNA
Rfam family: Bacterial small subunit ribosomal RNA
Source: RNAcentral
UACGUAGGGCGCAAGCGUUAUCCGGAAUUAUUGGGCGUAAAGAGCUCGUAGGCGGUUCGUCGCGUCUGCCGUGAAAGUCCGGGGCUCAACUCCGGAUCUGCGGUGGGUACGGGCAGACUAGAGUGAUGUAGGGGAGACUGGAAUUCCUGGUGUAGCGGUGAAAUGCGCAGAUAUCAGGAGGAACACCGAUGGCGAAGGCAGGUCUCUGGGCAUUAACUGACGCUGAGGACGACGAAGCGUGGGUAGCAACAGG